RNAcentral lists this ribosomal RNA (987 nucleotides) under Pseudogulbenkiania sp. ylq8. RNAcentral describes it as "bacterial SSU rRNA". It matches the Rfam family "Bacterial small subunit ribosomal RNA", at positions 79 to 1093 of the family's 1533-position model. The record is from RNAcentral. Lineage: Bacteria; Pseudomonadati; Pseudomonadota; Betaproteobacteria; Neisseriales; Chromobacteriaceae.
CCCGACUUGCUAGCCCUUGCGCGAACGGGUGAGUAAUGCGUCGGAACGCACCGAGUAGUGGGGGAUAACGCAGCGAAAGCUGUGCUAAUACCGCAUACGCUCUGAGGAGGAAAGCGGGGGAUCGAAAGACCUCGCGUUAUUCGAGCGGCCGACGUCUGAUUAGCUAGUUGGUGAGGUAAGAGCUCACCAAGGCGACGAUCAGUAGCGGGUCUGAGAGGAUGAUCCGCCACACUGGGACUGAGACACGGCCCAGACUCCUACGGGAGGCAGCAGUGGGGAAUUUUGGACAAUGGGCGCAAGCCUGAUCCAGCCAUGCCGCGUGUCUGAAGAAGGCCUUCGGGUUGUAAAGGACUUUUGUCAGGGAGCAAAUGCCGGUGGCUAAUAUCCACUGGAGCUGAGAGUACCUGAAGAAUAAGCACCGGCUAACUACGUGCCAGCAGCCGCGGUAAUACGUAGGGUGCAAGCGUUAAUCGGAAUUACUGGGCGUAAAGCGUGCGCAGGCGGUUGUGCAAGUCUGAUGUGAAAGCCCCGGGCUUAACCUGGGAACGGCAUUGGAGACUGCACGGCUAGAGUACGUCAGAGGGGGGUAGAAUUCCACGUGUAGCAGUGAAAUGCGUAGAGAUGUGGAGGAAUACCGAUGGCGAAGGCAGCCCCCUGGGAUGAUACUGACGCUCAUGCACGAAGCGUGGGGAGCAAACAGGAUUAGAUACCCUGUAGUCCACGCCCUAAACGAUGUCAAUUAGCUGUUGGGGGUUUGAAUCCUUGGUAGCGUAGCUAACGCGUGAAAUUGACCGCGCAAGGUUAAACUCAAGGAAUUGACGGGGACCCGCACAAGCGGUGGAUGAUGUGAUUAAUUCGAUGCAACGCGAAAACCUUACCUACCCUUGACAUGUCGGACUCGAUGAAGUGAGGUGCCCGAAGGAGCCGACACAGUGCUGCAUGCUGUCGUCAGCUCGUGUCGUGAGAAUGUUGGGGUAAGUCCCGCAC